AUUGAACGCUGGCGGCAUGCUUUACACAUGCAAGUCGAACGGCAGCGCGGGGCAACCUGGCGGCGAGUGGCGAACGGGUGAGUAAUAUAUCGGAACGUACCCAGAAGUGGGGGAUAACGUAGCGAAAGUUACGCUAAUACCGCAUACGAUCUACGGAUGAAAGUGGGGGACCUUCGGGCCUCAUGCUUUGGAGCGGCCGAUAUCUGAUUAGCUAGUUGGUGAGGUAAAGGCUCACCAAGGCGACGAUCAGUAGCUGGUCUGAGAGGACGACCAGCCACACUGGGACUGAGACACGGCCCAGACUCCUACGGGAGGCAGCAGUGGGGAAUUUGGACAAUGGGGGCGAACCCUGAUCCAGCAAUGCCGCGUGAGUGAAGAAGGCCUUCGGGUUGUAAGACUCUUUGUUCAGGGAAGAAACGGUGAGUUCUAAUAAAGACUUGCGUAAUGACGGUACCGUGAAGAAUAAGCACCGGCUAACUACGUGCCAGCAGCGC
RNAcentral lists this ribosomal RNA (494 nucleotides) under uncultured bacterium. Its description in RNAcentral is "bacterial SSU rRNA". It matches the Rfam family "Bacterial small subunit ribosomal RNA", at positions 30 to 518 of the family's 1533-position model. The record is from RNAcentral.